RNAcentral lists this ribosomal RNA (498 nucleotides) under uncultured bacterium. Its description in RNAcentral is "partial 16S ribosomal RNA". It matches the Rfam family "Bacterial small subunit ribosomal RNA", at positions 28 to 523 of the family's 1533-position model. The record is from RNAcentral.
GUUGAACGCUGGCGGCAUGCCUUACACAUGCAAGUCGAACGGUAACAGGUCUUCGGAUGCUGACGAGUGGCGAACGGGUGAGUAAUACAUCGGAACGUGCCUAGUAGUGGGGGAUAACUACUCGAAAGAGUGGCUAAUACCGCAUGAGAUCUACGGAUGAAAGCAGGGGAUCGCAAGACCUUGUGCUACUAGAGCGGCCGAUGGCAGAUUAGGUAGUAGGUGGGAUAAAAGCUUACCAAGCCGACGAUCUGUAGCUGGUCUGAGAGGACGAUCAGCCACACUGGGACAGAGACACGGCCCAGACUCCUACGGGAGGCAGCAGUGGGGAAUUUUGGACAAUGGGCGAAAGCCUGAUCCAGCAAUGCCGCGUGCAGGAUGAAGGCCUUCGGGUUGUAAACUGCUUUUGUACGGAACGAAAAGCCCCGGGUUAAUACCCAGGGGUCAUGACGGUACCGUAAGAAUAAGCACCGGCUAACUACGUGCCAGCCGCCGCGGUAA